Molecule: ribosomal RNA, 324 nt
Filed under: uncultured bacterium
Lineage: Bacteria
Description: bacterial SSU rRNA
Rfam family: Bacterial small subunit ribosomal RNA
Source: RNAcentral
GACGAACGCUGGCGGCGUGCUUAACACAUGCAAGUCGAACGGAGCACCCCUGAAGGAGUUUUCGGACAACGGAAGGGAAUGCUUAGUGGCGGACUGGUGAGUAACGCGUGAGGAACCUGCCUUCCAGAGGGGGACAACAGUUGGAAACGACUGCUAAUACCGCAUGAAACAUUUGAACCGCAUGGUUUGAAUGUCAAAGAUUUAUCGCUGGAAGAUGGCCUCGCGUCUGAUUAGCUAGUAGGCGGGGUAACGGCCCACCUAGGCGACGAUCAGUAGCCGGACUGAGAGGUUGACCGGCCACAUUGGGACUGAGAUACGGCCCAG